UAUAUAGUUGAGCUAGAAUAUUAUCGGUAGCAAACGAGCUCUGUUGCCAAUCAUUUGUUUUCGAUGAUGGAGCCUCCAAAUCGACGAUCGGCACCGUUGAAUAUGAUCUAUAUCACUUGAAGUAUCUAGAAAUCAAAUUUUAUACUUUUUCAAUAUUAUUCUCUUGGCCAUCAAGUGGGUGUAAAAAUGAACGGCUGAAAAUAAAUAUCCUCUAAAAAAUGAUGAUAGAAAUUUUGUAAUCAAGAUCGGGAGUAUAGAUCUUAUUCUAAAUAGUUUAAAGAACUUUCUCACCAAAAUUCAAUUGAUUUGGAUAGCUUUACACCGUUAAACGAGAAAACACCUCAUAUUUACCAUUAGAAUUACAAAUUUUGAAUCCCUUUGAUCAUUAGGUCAAUGAUGUCGAAAUGAUUUGAAAUUUGGUUUCUAGAUACUUCAAGUGGUAUAAAUCAUGUUCAAUGAUACCGAUCGUCAAUUUAAGAGCUUUAUCAUCGAAAACAAAUGGAUGUCAAGAGAGUCAGUUUGCUACCGAUAGCUCAACUCUUUCUCUCUCUCUCUCUCUAUAUAUAUAUAUAUAGAAUUAUAUAUAUAUAUAACUUUAUUGAUUAAAUAAAUCUUUCUUAAAAGAAAAAAGAAAGAAAAAAAAAUUGUAGGAAAAAGGA
This 659-nucleotide long non-coding RNA is filed under the name Ananas comosus (pineapple). Its description in RNAcentral is "long non-coding RNA (ACOM_LNC042482)". The record is from RNAcentral. Lineage: Eukaryota; Viridiplantae; Streptophyta; Magnoliopsida; Poales; Bromeliaceae.